RNAcentral lists this long non-coding RNA (3091 nucleotides) under Rhinopithecus bieti (black snub-nosed monkey). RNAcentral's name for it is "lncRNA (ENSRBIG00000046052.1)". The record is from RNAcentral. Lineage: Eukaryota; Metazoa; Chordata; Mammalia; Primates; Cercopithecidae.
AUGUCUGCUUUGGAUCCUAAUAAGCUAAUGUGGGCCCUGUGGAGAAUGCCUCUUUACUGGGCAGGUUGGGGGCCCAGGACCAGGUCACGUGGCUAUUCCCCUAAGCCCACACAUGCAUCUUUCCGUGGCAGGAAAAGCCUAUCUGGGAAGGAGCUGCCCACCAGGGAGAACCAGGGGCUGGGAGCCUUCACCCCAGGACCGGAGACAUGGCAGGUUGAAUUUGUAACCUUGUUGCCUCAGGAUCUAGGAAAAAGAGACCACAAGACAGCAAAGUUGGUAAGUGUGAGCCAUAGAAGGUUGGAGAGAGGAGCAAGGUUGCUCCCCAGUGAGGGUCUUGGCCCCUCUCCCUUCUCUUCGGAGAUGGCAUGUUAUUAUAAUUCCUCCAGGCUCAGGGAUGAAGAAGUGUCCUCAGUUCUCUCCCUCAGGGGAACUGGAAUGAGGCAGAGGAGGUGGAGCAAAAACUUGAGGACAGCCAUGUGCACCUGCCGGUUCCCGGAAGCCAAGCAACAGAGACCCAUUUGCACACAGCCAUGGCCUCUCCACAUGCUCACCCACCACCCCAGGGGAGUUGGUGGCUGGCGCCUCCCUUCCUGAAUUUUUUUCUUGCAUGUUGAUUUUCCUUUAGCUCUGGGUGCGAGAAUGCUCUCAGGUACUGUAUUACAAUGAUGUGCUUCCUCUCAGCUCACACACAGGGCCAGAUAUUUGUCAAUUUCGUUGUUCUUUCAUUCACGUAUAUAUUAAUCAGUCAGUCAACAAGUGCUAAUUGAGUACAGGCAUUGGGCUGUUCCGAUUCUUCUUUUUAAGUUUCGUGGUCACUGUUUAUGGACACUAGACAACAUUGUCUUUGAAAGACCAGAGAUGCACUCUGAGGUCCUGUGGUGGCCAGGAAGGCUUUGGCCAGUCAGUAGGGGAGGGCGAGCAAGUGGGUUUCCCCACUUCCUUGGACUCUUCUCUUUGCAAGUUGGAACCUCUGAUGUGAACAUUUCUUGCUACAGGGUAACUCUACUCCUGAGAACCAAGAAGGCUGGUGACAGGAAAAUGCCCCCCUGAAGCUGGCUGGGGAUCUCACUUAGGGGCGACAUAAAGUGAGGAGUGUGCUGCCAAAUGUCCCUGAUUCUUUCUCCCCAAACUAACAAGAUCUUAAUGAAGCUUCACUCCGGCAGACAAUACAGGGAUAAGCUAACUGCCAGUUGCUGGGGGGCUUCUAGAGGCCAAGGCUUUAACAGCCACCAUCCAGUCAUGGGAAGGCUAGGAUUGGGAAGUGGAAUUGUAUUGCCAAAGUGGAUGCUUUUGAGAGUUAAAGAGGUGCUAUUAAUACAUAUAAAGGAAUAACAGCUGUAAACCAGAACUGUCUCAGGCAAACUGCGAUAUACGAUCACCCUUUCUAGAAUGGUGUUUUUCAGAAGCAAUCUGCAAUGAAAAAACAAUGUAGUCUGCUUUUCGGAAUGUAACUCAGAACUCCUGCUGACUAACAGGAAUCCUCCCAGACAAAUCUGGCUCCUCCUUCCAUUUCCCCCAGAGCACAGAGCAAGAGCACCGCCCCAGACACUGCUGGGUUGGGGCCACUUUGUAAAGCCACUCUGGACUUCCAGGACGUGCACAAGAUGCGUGCAGUGCUCCCCCGGGGAAGGAGCCACCAGCCUGGAAUCUCAGGGACUCUUUGAAGAUGUGCAGGCAGGACGGAGGAAAUUCUUGCCGCUCGGUGGGGUCAGAACACGGGCCUUUGCUCCACACUGACAUUUCCUUCAAAGGUCAAGAAUGAGUUUGGGCUUUGUAGCUGUUUUGCCAAAAUAUGAUUUAGGGGAAGUUCCAAGCCCGGAGAUUCAGUUUUUAAGUCUGCUGUCUCCUGUUUCCAGGCCACGGUGCAUUCACUGAUAGUAUUUUUAGAAGAGGACCUUUGACAAUGGAAAGGCAGGUAUGACCGCAGGGUGAUUCACUGGCUGUGCCUCUGCACUGUCUGUCUUGGGGGCUGGGCAUGAGGUCCCGGACGUGUGUGGAUCACAGAGGGGCAUGGGCUGGUACCAUGGAGCAGGCAGGAACCCAGAGCACUAUAACUGCGCCGUGAGCUCUUAGGUAGACCAGAGAGGUGAGGCAGGAACCUGCAAUUUGGAUGUACUUGCAGAGCUGGGAUGGCACUGACACAGCCUCCUGUGUCACCGCUUCCAUCUCUGUGCGUGGGUCAGAAUGAGUACCAAAACACACGCAGGAUCAUGACCCACCUCCCACCUGCCCCCUUGCCUUGCCGUCAAGCCUGACUGCCGAGACGCCACGUGUGUAGUUCUAUGUGUGCUUGGGUACUCAAUAGAGAGACAGCUGAGAUCUGCUCAGCUUUCUGCUUCCAACAAAUGUCCCACCUUCUGAGACUUACCAGAUGCAAAACCCAGAAUUCUCCUCCUAGUGAGAGGGAGCUGCCCUGCAGGAAUGGCCAGGCACUGGCUGACCCUCCGGGCUGAGGCGAUGACAACCAGGAAAGAUUUUCCAUGCCUUUUUUGUUCUACAAAAGAAAAAAAAACAGGAAGACUGAAAGAACGGUUUAUAAUUGAUUCUUAAUAAGGAAGGAUAAUUAAACGAAUAAUAGUGCUAACGAUAACAAUUACUAGAUGCAGUAGUGAAUUUCUUAAGUGCAGCAUUUCAGCUAAUCCUCACAAGGGCCUCUGAGGGUGAUAUCAUUGCCUCCAUAUUUGAGGUGGGGAAACAGAGGCAGAGAGAGGCUGAGUUGCUUGCCUGACAUCGCACUGCUGGGAAGUGGCGCCAGUGUGGGAGCUGCCCUGGUUCAUGUGGGACACAGGGACAAUGACAAUUGGCCACACAAGAAUGUCCUUGGGCUCCCACUCCCAAAUCCCACAACUUCCCCUGUGUUUCUCUCUAUCCUUUCCCUUUUCUUUUCUUUUUUUUUUUUUUUUUUUUGAGACGGAGUCUUGCUCUGUCGCCCAGGCUGGAGUGCAGUGGCCAGAUCUCAGCUCACUGCAAGCUCCGCCUCCCGGGUUCACGCCAUUCUCCUGCCUCAGCCUCCCGAGUAGCUGGGACCACAGGCGCCCGCCACCUCGCCCGGCUAGUUUUUUGUAUUUUUAGUAGAGACGGGUUUCACCGU